CCUACGGGUGGCAGCAGUGGGGAAUAUUGGGCAAUGGAGGCAACUCUGACCCAGCAACGCCGCGUGAAUGAUGAAGGUCUUCGGAUUGUUAAGUUCUGUUAUGGGGGAUGAACACACUGACGGUCCCCCACUAGCAAGUCACGCCUAACUACGUGCCACCAGCCGCGGUAAUACGGCGGGUCCGGGUGUUCUCCGGAUUCAUGCGGUUUAAGGGGUGCUUAGGCGGCCUUUUAAGUCAGCGGGUAAAGUCUGUGGGCUAACCAUAGCAGUGCCGUGGAAACUGGGAGGCUUGAGUAUGUUUGAGGCAGGCGGAAGGCGCGGUGUAGCGGUGAAAUGCAUAGAUAUCGCGCAGAACCCCGAUUGCGAAGGCAGCCUGCC
This 378-nucleotide ribosomal RNA is filed under the name uncultured bacterium. RNAcentral describes it as "partial 16S ribosomal RNA". It matches the Rfam family "Bacterial small subunit ribosomal RNA", at positions 338 to 730 of the family's 1533-position model. The record is from RNAcentral.